This 1913-nucleotide long non-coding RNA is filed under the name Pogona vitticeps (central bearded dragon). RNAcentral describes it as "lncRNA (ENSPVIG00000010671.1)". Lineage: Eukaryota; Metazoa; Chordata; Lepidosauria; Squamata; Agamidae. The record is from RNAcentral.
CAAAAGCUUCAAAUUACGGGGGCAUUACCUUCUUUCCUGUGACAUAAAAUGCUCCAUCCUUGUGAGAAUACUACCUUAUCUUCCUCCUUUUGUUUUCUGCUCAUAGAAGAGAAAUGGAAAUGUAUGUGCAGGCCCAUGUAGAAGCAUUUGGAUUACAGCGACACAAUGCAGUCCCAGUACAACCAUAUAAAUUAGCAUUAGAGAAGACUGAAGCCCAGCCAAAUUAUGUUUAUUACACAGAGAAAGAGGAUCCCCUGUUAAAUCAGUCCCUUGAUGCUCUUGCUGAUGCCAAUCAGGAAGGUUACAACUGCAAAUGUACCAAAAAUGUUAAAUUAACAGCUUUUUGAGGCUUCUAGAAUUUGUACGGUUCAAGGGAGAUUGGGCUGUUCAAUAUAUACUGUCUUGGCUGUGUUCCAUUACACAAAUAAUGAAGGCCUGCAGUGGAAAGUUACUAAUUUGCUCUAUAAUGAUGCCCCCUUUUCUUUGCAAACUUUUAAGUUGCCAUUUUUGGCACCGACUUUCCAGAACUUGUUCAGUGUCACAGGUCUGUGACAGGGAAAAUUUUCCAAACAACCUCAGAGUGCUGACACCUGGUGAGUGGGGAGAGGGGGGAAAGACAGAAGCAGGGUUGCCCUAGCAACAAAAACCUAGCAAAGUAAAACUAAUUGCCGAAUAGUCCUCAACUUCAGGACCAAAUAGAAUCUAUUGUGGGCAGGGGAAAAAAACAAGAUAAUCAGAAACCCAAUUAAAAAACAACCCAAAAAAAGCCAUGAAAACUCAGGGGACGAUGCCAGCAAUAAGGAGGAAAAAUAUUGUACUACGAAUCAACAGAAGGAACGCAUGACUCUACAGGCAUGGAUGUGGUGAAACUUGCAUGACUAUACCCCUCUUUUGCUUCCACUGUCAAGACUAAAAUAUGAAUUUGUGUGUUGAUUUUGGUUUUUCCUCAAAGGAGCAAAGGCCUUCAACCUGACAUGGAUCGAAAAAGUAUUUAUGCUUACAGCUAAUGACAUCCGGGGAAAUCCACAAAGUGUAUUCUUAUUAGGGAUGUGCUUCGGUAAUUAUUUGUAAUCUGAAGUGAACCAGGGGCAUAUGUUAAUUUCCAGAACAAUUUGGAGUGAAACAAAAGAAGCUUGAAGUGGAGCCCAAAUCAAUUUGAGAUUCUCUGAAGUGCUGAAUAUUGCUUUGUAGUUUUGGAUGUAAAAAAAAAUGGGGGGAGGGUCAUUUUGGCUCCAGCAAAUCUCUUUACAGAAUUAGGAAGUCCAAAGUAAAUAGAGAUUGACAGCUCAUGCAUCAAUGAAAAUCCCAAGCUCUACUGGAAAUCCAGGCAGCAAGGUCCCCAGGCCCCGAUCAGCCAUAUAAUUUUGGGGACAUUUAAGGUUGCUUGUUUCUACAUGGGAGACACUGUUUUACUUUCAGAAAAAUCAUAACUCAAAAACCAUUGCCCAAACCGCUCUUCUGGACUCAGCAUUGUCUUGGGAUUCUCAGAUUGCAGCUAUGUCUAGAUCUGUCUUUAAUUGCUGAAGCUCUGCUCCUACCUGGACAAGGGAGCUCUUAGGAUAUUUGUGCAGGCAAUAGUCAUCUCCCAGAUUGACUACUGCAAUGCUGUCUAUGUGGGGCUUCCCUUAAGGCUUACCCAUAGACUUCAAUGGGUCCAGAAUGUGAUGGCUAAACUGGUGGCUGGUAUAAGUACAUAUCCCCAGUCCUGGCCCACCUGCACUGGUUGCCUGUUAUGUCCUGAGUCAAUUUUGAGGUCUUGAUGCUUACCUAUAAAGCCCUCUAGGGUUUGGGACCAUGCAACCUGUCAGAGUGACUUUGCCCAAGGUCAUCUACCCACUCCAUCAGACCAUCUCAGGCAAUGUUCCUCCCAGUGGCCACUCUAAGAGAGACCAAUAAAUCUUCUAUGAGAAACA